This 488-nucleotide ribosomal RNA is filed under the name uncultured Gammaproteobacteria bacterium. RNAcentral describes it as "bacterial SSU rRNA". It matches the Rfam family "Bacterial small subunit ribosomal RNA", at positions 8 to 491 of the family's 1533-position model. The record is from RNAcentral. Lineage: Bacteria; Pseudomonadati; Pseudomonadota; Gammaproteobacteria.
AGAGUUUGAUCAUGGCUCAGAGUGAACGCUGGCGGCAGGCCUAACACAUGCAAGUCGAGCGGCAGCGCGGGGGCAACCCUGGCGGCGAGCGGCGGACGGGUGAGGAAUGCAUCGGAAUCUGCCCUGGUGUGGGGGAUAACGUAGGGAAACUUACGCUAAUACCGCAUACGCCCUACGGGGGAAAGCGGGGGACCUUCGGGCCUCGCGCAGCAGGAUGAGCCGAUGCCGGAUUAGCUAGUUGGUGGGGUAAAGGCCCACCAAGGCGACGAUCCGUAGCUGGUCUGAGAGGAUGAUCAGCCACACUGGGACUGAGACACGGCCCAGACUCCUACGGGAGGCAGCAGUGGGGAAUAUUGGACAAUGGGGGCAACCCUGAUCCAGCCAUGCCGCGUGUGUGAAGAAGGCCUUCGGGUUGUAAAGCACUUUUGUACGGGAAGAAAUCGUUUGGGUUAAUACCCUGAGCGGAUGACGGUACCGUAAGAAUAAGC